UUGGGAUUGUUUCUCAGUGGUACAGUGCUUGCUUAGCAUGUGUGAGGUCCUGGGUCCAAUCCCCAGGACCCAAA
This 74-nucleotide transfer RNA is filed under the name Marmota monax (woodchuck). Its description in RNAcentral is "tRNA.Ala". The record is from RNAcentral. Lineage: Eukaryota; Metazoa; Chordata; Mammalia; Rodentia; Sciuridae.